CAGCAGCCGCGGUAAUACGUAGGGCGCGAGCGUUGUCCGGAAUUAUUGGGCGUAAAGGGCUUGUAGGCGGCUGGUCGCGUCUGUCGUGAAAUCCUCUGGCUCAGCUGGGGGCGUGCGGUGGGUACGGGCUGGCUUGAGUGCGGUAGGGGAGGCUGGAACUCCUGGUGUAGCGGUGGAAUGCGCAGAUAUCAGGAGGAACACCGGUGGCGAAGGCGGGUCUCUGGGCCGUUACUGACGCUGAGGAGCGAAAGCGUGGGGAGCGAACAGGAUUAGAUACCCUGGUAGUCCAUGCUGUAAACGUUGGGCACUAGGUGUGGGGGGUCUUUCCGGGCCGUCCGCGCCGUAGCUAACGCAUUAAGUGCCCCGCCUGGGGAGUACGGCCGCAAGGCUAAAACUCAAAGGAAUUGACGGGGGCCCGCACAAGCGGCGGAGCAUGCGGAUUAAUUCGAUGCAACGCGAAGAACCUUACCAAGGCUUGACAUGGGCCGGCUGCUCCUGGAGACGGGGGCUCCCCUCUUUUUUGGGGCUGGUUCACAGGUGGUGCAUGGUUGUCGUCAGCUCGUGUCGUGAGAUGUUGGGUUAAGUCCCGCAACGAGCGCAACCCUUGUCCCGUGUUGCCAGCGCGUGGUGGCGGGGACUCGCGGGAGACUGCCGGGGUUAACUCGGAGGAGGGUGGGGACGACGUCAAAUCAUCAUGCCCCUUAUGUCUUGGGCUUCACGCAUGCUACAAUGGCCGGUACAGUGGGUUGCGAUGUCGUGAGGCGGAGCGGAUCCCUUAGAGCCGGUCUCAGUUCGGAUCGGUGUCUGCAACUCGACACCGUGAAGCUGGAGUCGCUAGUAAUCGCAGAUCAGCACUGCUGCGGUGAAUACGUUCUCGGGCCUUGUACACACCGCCCGUCACGUCAUGAAAGCCGGCGACACCCGAAGCCCGUGGCCCUGUGGGGAGCGGUCGAAGGUGGGGCUGGUGAUUGGGACGAAGUCGUAACAAGGUAGCCGU
This 997-nucleotide ribosomal RNA is filed under the name uncultured Actinomyces sp. RNAcentral describes it as "bacterial SSU rRNA". It matches the Rfam family "Bacterial small subunit ribosomal RNA", at positions 509 to 1503 of the family's 1533-position model. The record is from RNAcentral. Lineage: Bacteria; Bacillati; Actinomycetota; Actinomycetes; Actinomycetales; Actinomycetaceae.